GCAAGUCGAACGGUAGCACAGGGGAGCUUGCUCCCUGGGUGACGAGUGGCGGACGGGUGAGUAAUGUCUGGGGAUCUGCCCGAUGGAGGGGGAUAACUACUGGAAACGGUAGCUAAUACCGCAUAACGUCGCAAGACCAAAGUGGGGGACCUUCGGGCCUCACACCAUCGGAUGAACCCAGAUGGGAUUAGCUAGUAGGUGGGGUAACGGCUCACCUAGGCGACGAUCCCUAGCUGGUCUGAGAGGAUGACCAGCCACACUGGAACUGAGACACGGUCCAGACUCCUACGGGAGGCAGCAGUGGGGAAUAUUGCACAAUGGGCGCAAGCCUGAUGCAGCCAUGCCGCGUGUAUGAAGAAGGCCUUCGGGUUGUAAAGUACUUUCAGCGGGGAGGAAGGGAUGAGGGUUAAUAACCUUCGUCAUUGACGUUACCCGCAGAAGAAGCACCGGCUAACUCCGUGCCAGCAGCCGCGGUAAUACGGAGGGUGCAAGCGUUAAUCGGAAUUACUGGGCGUAAAGCGCACGCAGGCGGUUUGUUAAGUCAGAUGUGAAAUCCCCGGGCUCAACCUGGGAACUGCAUUUGAAACUGGCAAGCUUGAGUCUCGUAGAGGGGGGUAGAAUUCCAGGUGUAGCGGUGAAAUGCGUAGAGAUCUGGAGGAAUACCGGUGGCGAAGGCGGCCCCCUGGACGAAGACUGACGCUCAGGUGCGAAAGCGUGGGGAGCAAACAGGAUUAGAUACCCUGGUAGUCCACGCCGUAAACGAUGUCGACUUGGAGGUUGUGCCCUUGAGGCGUGGCUUCCGGAGCUAACGCGUUAAGUCGACCGCCUGGGGAGUACGGCCGCAAGGUUAAAACUCAAAUGAAUUGACGGGGGCCCGCACAAGCGGUGGAGCAUGUGGUUUAAUUCGAUGCAACGCGAAGAACCUUACCUGGCCUUGACAUCCACGGAAUUUGGCAGAGAUGCCUUAGUGCCUUCGGGAACCGUGAGACAGGUGCUGCAUGGCUGUCGUCAGCUCGUGUUGUGAAAUGUUGGGUUAAGUCCCGCAACGAGCGCAACCCUUAUCCUUUGUUGCCAGCGAGUAAUGUCGGGAACUCAAAGGAGACUGCCGGUGAUAAACCGGAGGAAGGUGGGGAUGACGUCAAGUCAUCAUGGCCCUUACGGCCAGGGCUACACACGUGCUACAAUGGCGCAUACAAAGAGAAGCGACCUCGCGAGAGCAAGCGGACCUCAUAAAGUGCGUCGUAGUCCGGAUCGGAGUCUGCAACUCGACUCCGUGAAGUCGGAAUCGCUAGUAAUCGUAGAUCAGAAUGCUACGGUGAAUACGUUCCCGGGCCUUGUACACACCGCCCGUCACACCAUGGGAGUGGGUUGCAAAAGAAGUAGGUAGCUUAACCUUCGGGAGGGCGCUAC
RNAcentral lists this ribosomal RNA (1410 nucleotides) under Winslowiella iniecta. RNAcentral describes it as "bacterial SSU rRNA". It matches the Rfam family "Bacterial small subunit ribosomal RNA". The record is from RNAcentral. Lineage: Bacteria; Pseudomonadati; Pseudomonadota; Gammaproteobacteria; Enterobacterales; Erwiniaceae.